GGAUUAUACUUUUUUGUAAAAAAUGUCUUAUGGGAUAUGUUCGUCAUUUUUAGAGGGUGAUGAUUAAUCAGACUUUUAUUUUCUGCAUUUGUACUUUUGUAGAUAUUUUUGUUUGUUUACCAUUUUCUAGCAAUAUUUGACGACGAAAAUAGAUGACAGAAUAGACGAAAAUAGACCCAUCAAUCUUGUCCCUUAUCCUAGUGGAUAAUUUCAACCAAUUAGCGCAAAACACGUAAACAACACAACUGAGUGUAUAACUAACGC
RNAcentral lists this long non-coding RNA (264 nucleotides) under Mytilus galloprovincialis (Mediterranean mussel). The record is from RNAcentral. Lineage: Eukaryota; Metazoa; Mollusca; Bivalvia; Mytilida; Mytilidae.